RNAcentral lists this ribosomal RNA (253 nucleotides) under uncultured bacterium. RNAcentral's name for it is "partial 16S ribosomal RNA". It matches the Rfam family "Bacterial small subunit ribosomal RNA", at positions 524 to 776 of the family's 1533-position model. The record is from RNAcentral.
GACGAACCGUGCGAACGUUGUUCGGAAUCACUGGGCUUAAAGGGCGCGUAGGCGGCCGGGCAGGUCCGAGGUGAAAGCCCGCGGCUCAACCGCGGGACGGCGUCGGAAACCGCCCGGCUCGAGGGCCGCAGGGGUGCGUGGAACUUCCGGUGGAGCGGUGAAAUGCGUAGAGAUCGGGAGGAACACCUGUGGCGAAGGCGGCCGACUGGGCCGACCCUGACGCUGAGGCGCGAAGGCGUGGGGAGCGAACGGG